GACGAACGCUGGCGGCGCGCUUAACACAUGCAAGUCGAGCGAUGAAAUUUCGACAGAUCCCUUCGGGGUGAAGAUGAAAUGGAUUAGCGGCGGACGGGUGAGUAACACGUGAGUAACCUGCCUUUGACAUUGGGAUAGCCUCGGGAAACUGGGAUUAAUACCAAAUGACACUAACUGAUCACAUGAUCAAUUAGUCAAAGAAAUUCGGUCAAAGAUGGACUCGCGGCUGAUUAGCUAGUUGGUGAGGUAACGGCCCACCAAGGCGACGAUCAGUAGCCGGCCUGAGAGGGUGAUCGGCCACAUUGGAACUGAGACACGGUCCAAACUCCUACGGGAGGCAGCAGUGGGGAAUAUUGCACAAUGGGGGAAACCCUGAUGCAGCGACGCCGCGUGAGCGAAGAAGGCCUUCGGGUCGUAAAGCUCUUUUAUGAGGGAAGAUAAUGACGGUACCUCAAGAAAAAGCCCCGGCUAACUACGUG
This 479-nucleotide ribosomal RNA is filed under the name uncultured bacterium. RNAcentral describes it as "partial 16S ribosomal RNA". It matches the Rfam family "Bacterial small subunit ribosomal RNA", at positions 28 to 507 of the family's 1533-position model. The record is from RNAcentral.